CCGGGUUCCCGCCCACGUCUCUCCUUCCGGGGCUCUCACUCCAUACCUCCCCACAAGCUGAGGGAGCCGGCUCCGGCCUCAGCCAGCCCAGAAAGGGGCUCCCACAGUGCAGCGGGCUGAAGGGCUCCUCAAUAGCGACCAGAGUGGGCACCAAGGCCGAGGAGGCACCAAAAGCGAGUGAGGGCUGCGAGGGCUGCGAGGGCUGCCAGCACAUUGUCGCCUCUCAGUAGGGUCUUUGAGAGACAAGGUAUUUCACUGUAACAGACAUCAGACUAAAAGGAUCUUGCUAUGAUUCCCAGGCUGAUCACAAACUCCUGACCUCAAGCAACCCUUUCACCUCAGCAUCCCAAAGUGCUGGGAUUACAGGAUGAUCCACUAUGUCUGGCCCAUAAAUAGGAGGGAACAAGUAAAAACAUGGCAAUAUGGCAAAACAAUGAAACAUUUGUUAAUGAAUUGAAAACAGCAAAACUGGAAGUUUCCUAGACAUCCGUGUUCUUAAAGGAAACCACGAAUUUCUGAAGGAAAUGUUGAAGACACAGGGAAGGGCAGAAUAAAAGCAAAGAAUCCUUGAGACUGUCAACAGAGCUCUGGCGGGCCUUAAGGAAUGCACAUCUAGCAGACUCUCAAGUCCCUAAUGAUAUUUUGGAAGACUUUCUGGCUACUUUGCAACAACCUGAGUAUUUUUGGUACUAUUAAGGGGUCUUAAACCUCCUUAAGUCAAAUGCCAUUUCCCAGGCAAAGAUACGGUACACACUGCUACCAUAGGCAAGAAAGUAAUUUUGUAAAUCCGUUGUCUCCAAGAAUUUAAAGUGGUCGUCAUCUUAAGUGGGUGCUUAAACCCAUAUAGACGUGGUGUUUGAGAGGCAUGUGGAAAUGUAAGCAGAAAAAAGAAAGCAAAUAAGAUAGCAAAAAUAAGUUCUAAUAUAUUAGCAAUGUAUUUGUUCUUUAUAUAUUAGUAAUGUAUGUGUUCUAUACAUUACUAAUGGGUAUAUGUAUAAGGUAGUAAUUAUUUUAGUAAUGUAUAUGUUUUAAGAUAUUAGUAAUGUAUAUGUUCUUUUCUAAUUAGUAAUUAGAAAACAAAUGUAAAUGGACUAAUUUUACUAUCUGAAAGAAAAAUCAUGUUAAAGAUGAUGCAUAUUUAUAAUAUAGCAUUUGUCAUAAUCAUGAGUUUUCUGAUCUAUUCUUGCCUACUUUCCUAUUAAUCUCCUCCAGCCUCUAAACUACAGUGUUCAGUUUCUAUUGUAAACAGUUUUAUUUUCAAUACCUAUAAAGUGCUUGACACACAACAAUAUUUAUUAGGUGGAUUAAUGAUAGAGUUGGUGCCUAUGGCAGGAGAAAAAGGGACUUUUCUUUCAGUGGCUUAGGCCUAUUGUUGAGGACAGUUGCUCUUACAAAGGGGUAAGAAGAUUCCCAUUGUCUUUCAUCUCAAUUAUAUCAUAAUAUUCAUAUGGUUUCUAUAAUGGAAUGUUUGGUAAAUUGCAAGCAAUACACACAAACAACUUUCAGAGACCCCUUUACCUAAAAAGUGAAAGUCAGCUAUAACUGAAGAUCAGCCUUAAUUUAAAGCAACAGAGCAUUAACUAUAAAAAUAGAUAUGACAUAGUUGUGAGAGAUGUAGCAGUGACCUUUGGGCAAGCAUUAUAUUUAUUUUUAAAUUAAUGCUAUAAUUUUAUAAUCUACUUAAAUCAAUGCAUUUAGCAUGAUUUCAAUAUAAAUACUGAAGCAAUGUUACUUUAAUCCGUAGUCUAUUUAUUUUGUGCUAUUCAUGAUUUAUAUUUCUAUUGUUACUUGACUACUAAGUGACAGAAUCCACUCAUUAUCCAGAAAUUAUAAAUGUAUUCAGACACAUUUGGAACUGAAAGCUAGCUAGGCUUCUAUUUAAAAAUAAAAAAGACAUAUAUUCAGCUUGAGAGUUGAUAUACAAAAUUUUCCAGUUAAAGGUGUAGAUCUUAGACAGUUAAGGACAUACUGGGGUCUCAAACAAGUGGACUAACUGACACGAAUGCAUCUGGGAGGAGGAGACCAUUCAUCCUCUGUACAUGGAACUGUGGUCUGCACAUUUGAAAGACUGUAGCCAGGAUAUCCUCAACUUUUACAGAUUGACUCUGUAAAGAUAUUCCUUCAUAUUUUGUGUUAUAUCCAUUCUCCAAAUAACUGAGAAUACAUUGUCCUAAAGACCAUAAAAUGAUUAAAAGGUAGAUUAGGAACAUGAAUUUGAUCAAAAUAGUAUAUUAAAAUAAUUUUUUGAAUAUUUAAAUAAGACUGCAUCAGUACACAAAAAUGACGUAUCACUGAAGGAAAACUAAAGCUACUACUAAAUGUUUGUACAAAAAGGUCAGUAUUCAAUGUUACUUAUCUUUAGUUUUUAUGAUAAAAUAUGUUUAAAUUAUAUAGGUAUUCUCAUAAGGUUCCUAUAUUUAUUUCUCAUGUGAUUUUCAUGAAGGUCUCAUAACAGAAAAGAUCUAGUUUGGUGUUUUUGCAUGAACAACUCUUCCUUUGGUACCAUCUCUGUCAUAUAAGACAAUGUAAUCAUUUGUUUGCUCUUCUCUCUCCAUUCUUUGCAAGUUUUAUGCACAUAUUGUUGUAAAGAGGUU
RNAcentral lists this long non-coding RNA (2594 nucleotides) under Homo sapiens (human). RNAcentral's name for it is "HSALNT0297310". Lineage: Eukaryota; Metazoa; Chordata; Mammalia; Primates; Hominidae. The record is from RNAcentral.